AUUGAACGCUGGCGGCAUGCUUUACACAUGCAAGUCGGACGGCAGCACAGAGAAGCUUGCUUCUUGGGUGGCGAGUGGCGAACGGGUGAGUAAUAUAUCGGAACGUACCGAGUAAUGGGGGAUAACUAAUCGAAAGAUUAGCUAAUACCGCAUAUUCUCUGAGGAGGAAAGCAGGGGACCUUCGGGCCUUGCGUUAUUCGAGCGGCCGAUAUCUGAUUAGCUAGUUGGUGGGGUAAAGGCCUACCAAGGCGACGAUCAGUAGCGGGUCUGAGAGGAUGAUCCGCCACACUGGGACUGAGACACGGCCCAGACUCCUACGGGAGGCAGCAGUGGGGAAUUUUGGACAAUGGGCGCAAGCCUGAUCCAGCCAUGCCGCGUGUCUGAAGAAGGCCUUCGGGUUGUAAAGGACUUUUGUCAGGGAAGAAAAGGACAGGGUUAAUACCCCUGUUUGAUGACG
RNAcentral lists this ribosomal RNA (457 nucleotides) under Neisseria subflava. Its description in RNAcentral is "bacterial SSU rRNA". It matches the Rfam family "Bacterial small subunit ribosomal RNA", at positions 30 to 487 of the family's 1533-position model. The record is from RNAcentral. Lineage: Bacteria; Pseudomonadati; Pseudomonadota; Betaproteobacteria; Neisseriales; Neisseriaceae.